UGGGGAAUAUUGCACAAUGGAGGGAACUCUGAUGCAGCGACGCCGCGUGAACGAAGAAGGCUUUCGAGUCGUAAAGUUCUUUUAUAUGGGAAGAUAAUGACGGUACCAUAAGAAAAAGCCCCGGCUAACUACGUGCCAGCAGCCGCGGUAAUACGUAUGGGGCGAGCGUUGUCCGGAAUUAUUGGGCGUAAAGCGCGCGCAGGUGGUUUAGAAAGUCUGAUGUGAAAGCCCACGGCUCAACCGUGGAGGGUCAUUGGAAACUAAUAAACUUGAGUGCAGGAGAGAAAAGUGGAAUUCCUAGUGUAGCGGUGAAAUGCGUAGAGAUUAGGAGGAACACCGGUGGCGAAAGCGGCUUUUUGGCCUGCAACUGACACUGAGGCGCGAAAGCGUGGGGAGCAAACAGG
Molecule: ribosomal RNA, 404 nt
Filed under: Verrucomicrobiota bacterium
Lineage: Bacteria; Pseudomonadati; Verrucomicrobiota
Description: Verrucomicrobia bacterium partial 16S ribosomal RNA
Rfam family: Bacterial small subunit ribosomal RNA
Source: RNAcentral